GCGCAUGUAGAUGAAAGAGGAAGUAGAUGAAGAGCACCAAAGCCGUUACCAGAAGAGAGAGAGCACAGCCUUUGCCGUCUCUCCCGCUUCAGCCUGGGGCUUGACAACUGGGGCUGUGCUAUCCCUCUUCUGCUGCCGGAUUUGUUGCAUGUUAGUCCUUCCUCCGAAUCUCGUACGUGCGU
Molecule: non-coding RNA, 182 nt
Organism: Marchantia polymorpha subsp. ruderalis
Lineage: Eukaryota; Viridiplantae; Streptophyta; Marchantiopsida; Marchantiales; Marchantiaceae
Source: the annotation of a GenBank genome assembly